UACAGAGGGGGCAAGCGUUAUUCGGAAUUAUUGGGCGUAAAGGGCGCGUAGGCGGCUUGGCAAGUGGAAGGUGAAAUCCCUCGGCUUAACCGAGGAACUGCCCUCCAAACUGCUUCGCUUGAGACCGGGAGAGGUGAGUGGAAUUCCCAGUGUAGCGGUGAAAUGCGUAGAUAUUGGGAGGAACACCAGUGGCGAAGGCGGCUCACUGGACAGGUACUGACGCUGAUGCGCGAAAGCGUGGGGAGCAAACGGG
Molecule: ribosomal RNA, 253 nt
Filed under: uncultured bacterium
Lineage: Bacteria
Description: partial 16S ribosomal RNA
Rfam family: Bacterial small subunit ribosomal RNA
Source: RNAcentral